GAGGUAUUAGGUUAAUCAAAACUUACAGUUUGUCAGGUUGUAAAUCUUAGUCUUAAGAUAUCUCG
Molecule: transfer RNA, 65 nt
Filed under: Branchiostoma floridae (Florida lancelet)
Lineage: Eukaryota; Metazoa; Chordata; Leptocardii; Amphioxiformes; Branchiostomatidae
Description: tRNA-Asp
Source: RNAcentral